AAAUAACGCAGUUUUGCUAAUUUUUUUCUAAUAUUUAACCGUUCAUCUUAUUUAAAAUUUUUUAUGAUUAAUAUUUCAUUAUUACUAGAUGAUAAAAUAUAAAUAGUACUUUAAGUGUGAUUAAUUUUUAUUAAUUUUUUAAAUAAGACGGACAGUUAAACGUUGAAUACGGAAACUCACGACUGCACUUAAA
Oryza punctata is the source of this 193-nucleotide non-coding RNA. NCBI's taxonomy places the organism in Eukaryota, Viridiplantae, Streptophyta, Magnoliopsida, Poales, Poaceae. The record is from Rfam.